Molecule: non-coding RNA, 30 nt
Filed under: Homo sapiens (human)
Lineage: Eukaryota; Metazoa; Chordata; Mammalia; Primates; Hominidae
Source: RNAcentral
UGCCAGAAGACGGACCAUUUCCUGUCCUGC